UACAGAGACUGCAAGCGUUAUUCGGAUUCACUGGGCGUAAAGGGUGCGCAGGCGGCCAAGUGUGUGAAGCGUGAAAGCCCGGGGCUUAACUCCGGAAUUGCACCUCAAACUACAUGGCUAGAGCAUUGGAGAGGGUAGCAGAAUUCACGGUGUAGCAGUGAAAUGCGUAGAUAUCGUGAGGAAUACCAGAGGCGAAGGCGGCUACCUGGACAAUUGCUGACGCUCAGGCACGAAAGCGUGGGGAGCAAAAGGG
Molecule: ribosomal RNA, 253 nt
Filed under: uncultured bacterium
Lineage: Bacteria
Description: partial 16S ribosomal RNA
Rfam family: Bacterial small subunit ribosomal RNA
Source: RNAcentral